CUUGGCAGCCAGAGGCGAUGAAGGACGUUGUAGCCUGCGAUAAGCUCCGGUUAGGUGGCAAACAACCGUUUGACCCGGAGAUUUCCGAAUGGGGAAACCC
RNAcentral lists this ribosomal RNA (100 nucleotides) under Alloalcanivorax venustensis. RNAcentral's name for it is "Alcanivorax venustensis partial 23S ribosomal RNA". It matches the Rfam family "Bacterial large subunit ribosomal RNA", at positions 32 to 129 of the family's 2925-position model. The record is from RNAcentral. Lineage: Bacteria; Pseudomonadati; Pseudomonadota; Gammaproteobacteria; Oceanospirillales; Alcanivoracaceae.